GACGAACGCUGGCGGCGUGCUUAACACAUGCAAGUCGAACGGAAAGGCCUGCUUUCCCUUAUGGAUUGCGGGUACUCGAGUGGCGAACGGGUGAGUAACACGUGAGUGAUCUGCCCCCAACUUGGGUAUAAGCCUGGGAAACUGGGUCUAAUUCCCGAUAGGACUGCAGGGUGGUGCCUGUGGUGGAAAACGAUUUUCUAGUGGUUGGGGAUGAGCUCGCGGCCUAUCAGCUUGUUGGUGGGGUAAUGGCCUACCAAGGCGGCGACGGGUAGCCGGCCUGGGAGGGUGGACGGCCACAUUGGGACUGAGAUACGGCCCAGACUCCUACGGGAGGCAGCAGUGGGGAAUAUUGCACAAUGGGCGGAAGCCUGAUGCAGCGACGCCGCGUGGGGGAUGACGGCCUUCGGGUUGUAAACUCCUUUCGACCGCGAGGAAGCCACCUGGUUGGAAGGGUGGUGACGGUAGUGGUAGAAGAAGCACCGGCUAACUACGUG
Molecule: ribosomal RNA, 494 nt
Filed under: uncultured bacterium
Lineage: Bacteria
Description: partial 16S ribosomal RNA
Rfam family: Bacterial small subunit ribosomal RNA
Source: RNAcentral